RNAcentral lists this ribosomal RNA (779 nucleotides) under Klebsiella oxytoca. Its description in RNAcentral is "bacterial SSU rRNA". It matches the Rfam family "Bacterial small subunit ribosomal RNA", at positions 26 to 800 of the family's 1533-position model. The record is from RNAcentral. Lineage: Bacteria; Pseudomonadati; Pseudomonadota; Gammaproteobacteria; Enterobacterales; Enterobacteriaceae.
GGGAAAAAGGGGGGGGGACUACACAUGCAAGUCGAACGGUAGCACAGAGAGCUUGCUCUCGGGUGACGAGUGGCGGACGGGUGAGUAAUGUCUGGGAAACUGCCUGAUGGAGGGGGAUAACUACUGGAAACGGUAGCUAAUACCGCAUAACGUCGCAAGACCAAAGAGGGGGACCUUCGGGCCUCUUGCCAUCAGAUGUGCCCAGAUGGGAUUAGCUAGUAGGUGGGGUAACGGCUCACCUAGGCGACGAUCCCUAGCUGGUCUGAGAGGAUGACCAGCCACACUGGAACUGAGACACGGUCCAGACUCCUACGGGAGGCAGCAGUGGGGAAUAUUGCACAAUGGGCGCAAGCCUGAUGCAGCCAUGCCGCGUGUAUGAAGAAGGCCUUCGGGUUGUAAAGUACUUUCAGCGGGGAGGAAGGCGAUGAGGUUAAUAACCUCGUCGAUUGACGUUACCCGCAGAAGAAGCACCGGCUAACUCCGUGCCAGCAGCCGCGGUAAUACGGAGGGUGCAAGCGUUAAUCGGAAUUACUGGGCGUAAAGCGCACGCAGGCGGUCUGUCAAGUCGGAUGUGAAAUCCCCGGGCUCAACCUGGGAACUGCAUUCGAAACUGGCAGGCUAGAGUCUUGUAGAGGGGGGUAGAAUUCCAGGUGUAGCGGUGAAAUGCGUAGAGAUCUGGAGGAAUACCGGUGGCGAAGGCGGCCCCCUGGACAAAGACUGACGCUCAGGUGCGAAAGCGUGGGGAGCAAACAGGAUUAGAUACCCUUGGUAGUCCAGAA